RNAcentral lists this long non-coding RNA (1602 nucleotides) under Marmota monax (woodchuck). The record is from RNAcentral. Lineage: Eukaryota; Metazoa; Chordata; Mammalia; Rodentia; Sciuridae.
UGACUUUCAGGAAAACAAUGUAGCACUGUAGUCCAAGGGACUUGAACCCUUCAUGGGCAAAUUCAACAAUAUCUGCUUCUAGGCAGUCACUGGAACAUAUACCAGUAAUCCCAGCUACCUGGGUGACUAAGGGAGGAGGAUGGCAAGUUCUAGGUGAGCACAGGAAACUUAGUGCAAACAUGCCUCAAAACAUAAAAUCUGGGUGUGUAAUUAGUAGUGGAUAUUUGCUGAGCAUGUUCAAAACCCUAGAUAUUGGGGGGAAAAAAGAGAGAAAGAAACAAACAAAAUUAGACACCUACCUUCCAGGAGGCACAGAGAGAGAGAAGGUCAGUCAAAGAGUUCAAGGUCUCAGAAUGAGGAAGAAAGAGCAUAGACCAACUGUGCUCUAUGAUGUCAAAAUUGUAUAUUUAAAAGUUUCUAAAGGAUUUAAAUGUUCUUACCACACAGACUAAAAGUUAAAUCAUGGAAGUAGUGCGUAUGUAAAUGCACUGCAUCAUUUACAAUGUAUACAGAGGUCCAAAACCACAUUGUGUCCCAUAAAUGUUACUAAAACACUGUCAAUUAAAAAGUAAGUAAAUACAUUGAAGGGAAAGAAUAAUUUUCCAAUUCCCCAAUACUAAAACACUCAAAUCCUAAAGGAAUACAUUCAGCUAUAUAUUGGGAGUCAUCUCAUUUUGUAAGCUAACAUAAAAAAUGAAAACAACACAAAUAUCUCACAGUAUAGUAAUGGCUGAAUUAUGGUAAAAUUCUGUGUGAUACAUGGACUUAACCUACAUGCAAAAAAAACUGCAAAACUUUAGCAUGGUAUGAUAGAGUUGAUUUUUUUUUCUGUUAAAUUAACUCCUAGGUAAAAGAACUUGAGGUUUAUGAAAGAGAAAUAUCCUUGCCUCAGGCUCACUGUCCAAAACCAAAUGAGAAAACGGUGAAUAUACAAGAAUAGGGAUUAAGAAUUCACUCAAAAAACCUGAAACUCUACUUUGAACACAUCAACUGUACGAUCCAGCAAUUCAUACUUAUGUUUUGCCCAAGAAAAUGAAAGCAUAUAUGCACACAAGGACUUGUACAAAAAUGAUCACAACAGCUUUCUUUGUAAAGGUCAAAAACUGCAGUCAACACAAAUGUCCACCAGCAGAUGAAUGGAGAAUCAAUCUGUGGUACAUACAAAGGACAACACACACGAAACUGAAAUUCAUUACACUGAAUAAAUAAGCCCUACAAGAAAGCACACCCUGAAUGACUACAGGGCCAGAACAUAAACCAGAUGAGUGGUUGCAAGGGAUGGGAGGACAGAAAGUGAUGACAAGUAGCCACAAGGAAAUUUAAGGGGCUAUAAACAUGAGUUCAUUAUUAUGCAUGUAUGAGUUCAUGUUCAGGUGAUGGUUUCCAGGCUCUUUAUAUAUUUGUACGUUUUUAUAAUUUAAAUAUGUGCAGUGCAUUGUAUGUCAAUCUGCCUCCUCUAACCAAAAAGAAAUCACCUCAUGUAACCCCUACCCACCCACCAUCCACAGCUCUAACCACUGAUUAACAUUUUUGCAUAUUAAAGUGUAAUAUUGAUAAACUCAAUGAGUAGUCUCAAAUAAAUGAAGAUCAAACUUUUAAAAA